This 978-nucleotide ribosomal RNA is filed under the name Dioscorea cayenensis subsp. rotundata (Guinea yam). RNAcentral describes it as "bacterial SSU rRNA". It matches the Rfam family "Bacterial small subunit ribosomal RNA", at positions 500 to 1465 of the family's 1533-position model. Lineage: Eukaryota; Viridiplantae; Streptophyta; Magnoliopsida; Dioscoreales; Dioscoreaceae. The record is from RNAcentral.
ACUCCGUACCAGCAGCAGCAGUAAGACGGGGAGGGAGGCAAGUGUUCUUCGGACUGACUGGGCGUAAAGGGGCACGUAGGCGGUGAAUCAGGUUGAAAGUGAAAGUCACAAAAAACUGGUGGAAUGCUCUCAAAACCAAUUCAUUUAAGUAAGACAGAGGAGAGUGGAAUUUCGUGUGUAGGGGUAAAAUCCGUAGAUCUACGAAGGAAUGGCAAAAGAAAAGGCAGCUCUCUAGGUCCCUACCGACGCUGGGGUGCAAAAGCAUGUCGAGCGAACAGGAUUAGAUACCCUGGUAGUCGAUGAUGUAAAUGAUGAGUGUUCGCCCUUGGUCUACGUGGAUCAAGGUCCCAGCUAACACGUGAAACACCACGCCUGGGGAGUACCGUCGCAAGAUCGAAACUCAAAGGAAUUGACGGGGGCCUGCACAAGCGGUGGAGCAUGUGGUUUAGUUCGAUACAACGCGCAAAACCUUACCAGCCCUUGACAUAUGAACAACAAAACCUGUCCUUAACAGGAUGGUACUGACUUUCAUACAGGUGCUGCAUGGCUGUUGUUAGCUCGUAUCGUGAGAUGUUUGGUCAAGUCCUAUAAUGAGUGAAACCCUUGUUUUGUGUUGCUGAGAUACGCGCCAAAGGAGAAAUGGCAACCGGAGUGAGCCGAGUGAUGUACCAGCGCUACUAGUUGAGUGCCAGCACGUAGCUGUGCUUUCAGCAAGAAGUUCACGGGAGCCGGCGCCUUUCGAAGCACUUUCACGUGUGAACCAAAGUCAUCUGGAAAGAUUGCCUCAGUUCGGAUUGUUCUCUGCAACUCGGGAACAUGAAGUUGGAAUCGCUAGUAAUCACGGAUCAGCAUGCCGCGGUGAGUAUGUACCCGGGCCCUGUACACACCGUCCGUCACACCCUGGCAAUUGGUUUUGCCCGAAGGAUCAGACUAAUGAUCAUCCAUGACUUCUGUGUACCACUAGUGCCACAAAGGCUU